CCUACGGGAGGCAGCAGUGGGGAAUAGUGGACAAUGGGGGCAACCCUGAUCCAGCCAUGCCGCGUGUGUGAAGAAGGCCCUCGGGUUGUAAAGCACUUUCAGUGAGGAAGAACGCCUGGUGGUUAAUACCCAUCAGGAAAGACAUCACUCACAGAAGAAGCACCGGCUAACUCCGUGCCAGCAGCCGCGGUAAUACGGAGGGUGCGAGCGUUAAUCGGAAUUACUGGGCGUAAAGCGCGCGUAGGUGGCUUGAUAAGCCGGUUGUGAAAGCCCCGGGCUCAACCUGGGAACGGCAUCCGGAACUGUCAAGCUAGAGUGCAGGAGAGGAAGGUAGAAUUCCCGGUGUAGCGGUGAAAUGCGUAGAGAUCGGGAGGAAUACCAGUGGCGAAGGCGGCCUUCUGGACUGACACUGACACUGAGGUGCGAAAGCGUGGGUAGCAAACAGGAUUAGCUACCCGAGUAGUC
RNAcentral lists this ribosomal RNA (465 nucleotides) under Vreelandella stevensii. RNAcentral describes it as "partial 16S ribosomal RNA". It matches the Rfam family "Bacterial small subunit ribosomal RNA", at positions 338 to 795 of the family's 1533-position model. Lineage: Bacteria; Pseudomonadati; Pseudomonadota; Gammaproteobacteria; Oceanospirillales; Halomonadaceae. The record is from RNAcentral.